RNAcentral lists this ribosomal RNA (157 nucleotides) under Exophiala spinifera. RNAcentral describes it as "5.8S ribosomal RNA". It matches the Rfam family "5.8S ribosomal RNA". From Rfam's summary of the family: 5.8S ribosomal RNA (5.8S rRNA) is a component of the large subunit of the eukaryotic ribosome. It is transcribed by RNA polymerase I as part of the 45S precursor that also contains 18S and 28S rRNA. The record is from RNAcentral. Lineage: Eukaryota; Fungi; Ascomycota; Eurotiomycetes; Chaetothyriales; Herpotrichiellaceae.
ACUUUCAACAACGGAUCUAUUGGUUCUGGCAUCGAUGAAGAACGCAGCGAAUUGCGAUAAGUAAUGCGAAUUGCAGAAUUCUCGUGAGUCAUCGAAUCUUUGAACGCACAUUGCGCCCUUUGGUAUUCCGAAGGGCAUGCCUGUUCGAGCGUCAUUU